This 346-nucleotide long non-coding RNA is filed under the name Homo sapiens (human). RNAcentral describes it as "non-protein coding MIR99AHG:75". The record is from RNAcentral. Lineage: Eukaryota; Metazoa; Chordata; Mammalia; Primates; Hominidae.
AGCAAAUGCUUGAGAAAGAAAGCAGUGUUCAGAACAAGUAGAAUGGAAAGAAAUUAGGAAUGGGAGUAGUGCAGAGCAGCUUGAACUAAUGCACUGGGAAUGGAAAUGAGAGAACAGGCAAAACAUUUGAGAAAGUCGAUUUGAAAAGGCAGAUUGUUUAUGUUGGACAGUACUACAGAAGGACUAAGUAUAUAGGAAACUUGACUUAUUUAAAUAAGGCAGUGAAAAAAAUAGAAUAUGGGGAGUAAAACAACCUCUGAAGCUAAGUCUGCAUAUAUAAUAACUGGGCAGGGAUGGAGAUAUGUUUUAGACAUGGAACAUUUGAGAGGAUAAAAGAAGCAUGAAA